UACAGAGGGUGCAAGCGUUAAUCGGAAUUAUUGGGCGUAAAGCGCGUGUAGGCGGCCAGAAAAGUCCGCUGUGAAAACUCGAGGCUCAACUUCGAGCUGUCGGUGGAAACUUUCUGGCUAGAGUCCGGAAGAGGAGAAUGGAAUUCCUGGUGUAGCGGUGAAAUGCGCAGAUAUCAGGAAGAACACCCGUGGCGAAGGCGGUUCUCUGGGACGGUACUGACGCUGAGACGCGAAAGCGUGGGGAGCGAACAGG
This 253-nucleotide ribosomal RNA is filed under the name uncultured bacterium. Its description in RNAcentral is "partial 16S ribosomal RNA". It matches the Rfam family "Bacterial small subunit ribosomal RNA", at positions 524 to 776 of the family's 1533-position model. The record is from RNAcentral.